AAAACCAGUCUUUUCUAAAAAUAGCUAAAGCCGUGCUCGGAACCCCCGAGCGGAAAGUCUCAUGAAUCUGGUCGUAAAAUUGUUUACCUUCAACCCGAAGCAGAGAGGCCGUACAUAGUAGUGGCACUCAAACUAAACAUCAUAACCUUAACAGCUAAAUGAUGGAAGUUGAAAGCAAUCUGCA
This is a long non-coding RNA of Haliotis rubra (blacklip abalone), 184 nucleotides long. RefSeq lists it as uncharacterized. The record is from RefSeq and is a predicted model, not a curated record. NCBI's taxonomy places the organism in Eukaryota, Metazoa, Mollusca, Gastropoda, Lepetellida, Haliotidae. The transcript has 2 exons.